Molecule: non-coding RNA, 327 nt
Organism: Arachis ipaensis
Lineage: Eukaryota; Viridiplantae; Streptophyta; Magnoliopsida; Fabales; Fabaceae
Source: RefSeq, a predicted model, not a curated record
AGCUGACUGCUAUUCUGCACAGUGCCUAUGAUAAUGUCAUGGUUGAGAUGGAAGAACUGAAAGCCAAAAGGAACGGGACAUGUUCGUUAUCUCACAAAGAUGCCAACUUAGAAUCCGUUAACGAGCUUCAAAGCCCUCCAAGGAUUCGAACAAGAGGACAUCCAAAAAAUAGGCUAGGUUCAAAGUUGGACAAACAAAUUGCAAAUGCCUCAAAGAAGAAGAAAACGAAAGCUCUAAGCGAGUUAAACCUUUUUUAUGCUGCAUCAGUGGUGCAACCAAAUUCCAGCCAAUAUCACGGACAUGUUAUGAAUUAUCAGUUUAGGGAUC